RNAcentral lists this ribosomal RNA (433 nucleotides) under uncultured bacterium. Its description in RNAcentral is "partial 16S ribosomal RNA". It matches the Rfam family "Bacterial small subunit ribosomal RNA", at positions 29 to 507 of the family's 1533-position model. The record is from RNAcentral.
AACGAACGCUGGCGGCAUGCCUAACACAUGCAAGUCGAACGAGACCUUCGGGUCUAGUGGCGCACGGGUGCGUAACGCGUGGGAACCUGCCCUUAGGUUCGGAAUAACUCCCCGAAAGGGGUGAUAAUACCGGAUAAUGUCUUAGGACCAAAGAUUUAUCGCCUUUGGAUGGGCCCGCGUUGGAUUAGCUAGUUGGUAGGGUAAAAGCCUACCAAGGCGACGAUCCAUAGCUGGUCUGAGAGGAUGAUCAGCCACACUGGGACUGAGACACGGCCCAGACUCCUACGGGAGGCAGCAGUGGGGAAUAUUGGACAAUGGGCGAAAGCCUGAUCCAGCAAUGCCGCGUGAGUGAUGAAGGCCUUAGGGUUGUAAAGCUCUUUUACCCGGGAUGAUAAUGACAGUACCGGGAGAAUAAGCUCCGGCUAACUCCGUG